Molecule: long non-coding RNA, 1196 nt
Filed under: Zostera marina
Lineage: Eukaryota; Viridiplantae; Streptophyta; Magnoliopsida; Alismatales; Zosteraceae
Description: long non-coding RNA (ZMAR_LNC000148)
Source: RNAcentral
CCAAAUCGUGAUUUCAACCUGAACCCCCAAACCUACUCCCAUCGAUACUUCUUGUCCGGCGAUUCCAACCUCUCAAGCGAGGAGCGAGCAACUUCCUCCACCGUUUCCCGUCCAUUCCUGUCCGGCGAGCAACUUCCCGUUGAUACCUCUCGUCCAUUCCUGUCCGGCGAGAAACUUGCGGCUACAUCUCCAGUUCUGCCUGGCAAGGUUAAGCUUCCAUCCGGCGAACGGCGACGACUUCGGUUAGGCUUCCAUCCGACUCAGGUUAGACUCCACAACCCAUCUUUGGGUUCUGAAUUUUUUUCAAUGUUUAAUCAAUAUCGAUUUAGGUUUUCCAUUUCAAAAUUCUUUAGGUUUUCCUUUUCACGAAAUUAAAAUCUCAACUAGUAUAUCCUGAAAUCAUCACCUAUUUUCCCCAAUACAUGUCCCCCAAUAUAGUUUAGAGUUUAGAAAAAUAAAUUGCGUAUUUCCCCAAUACGCCAUUACAACUGGAGUGUUGUGGGAAUUAAGGGAUUGAUGAUUGAUUCUCUCCAUUAAUGACUCAUAAAUCCUUUAUUGCCGAACUGUAAAUUACUGUCUCAUACCAUCUGUCUAUCUAUCUAUUAGUUGAUGUUAUACGAUCUGUAACAGUUUUAUAGAACCAGAAGAGCUUGCAGAGACAACCAUGUCUGACUUUUCCCUCCAGCAUACACUGGAAACGAAAUGUCCAUUGUCAUAAGCACUCUCUUGGUUGGAUAUUGGAUCUAUAGAACUAAACUUGUGUGAAGUUACCAAAUUUCUGUUAAUAAUUAAGCAAGAAGCUAAAAAUAAAAUGAUUUCUUAUUAAUAAAUUACAAUCAGUUUUUAAAGUUUAAUGACACUUGAAAUUGAAAAUAUAUAGUUUUAGUUUGUAGAUAUAUGACAUUGUAGUGUAUAAAAUAGAAAGAAUGAGAAGAAAAAUCAUACUUCAUUGAUGUUCCAAAGUUUGACAGGAACAAUAUGAAAUCCGUAUUAGUAUUAAAACACUAAACUAAGUAUUACUCCUUAAUUAAAACUUAAUUAAACUAAGUAUUAGGCAUAGUUUUAAUUAAGUUAAGUAUUGAUAUUACUAAUAAAGUUUAUUUAAGGUUAAUGGACCAGGCCCAGAACUCAGAUCCGGCCCAGAUAUGAAAUAAAGAUGGUGAAGGAUCAAGUUGCAAAUCUUAAUUAGUUUCGGG